UACGUAGGGGGCAAGCGUUGUCCGGAUUUAUUGGGCGUAAAGAGCGUGUAGGCGGCCGCACAGGUCCGUUGUGAAAACUGGAGGCUUAACCUCCAGACGUCGAUGGAAACCGUGCGGCUAGAGUCCGGAAGAGGAGAAUGGAAUUCCUGGUGUAGCGGUGAAAUGCGCAGAUAUCAGGAAGAACACCCGUGGCUAAGGCGGUUCUCUAGUACGGCACUGACGCUGAGACGCGAAAGCGUGGGGAGCGAACAGG
Molecule: ribosomal RNA, 253 nt
Filed under: uncultured bacterium
Lineage: Bacteria
Description: partial 16S ribosomal RNA
Rfam family: Bacterial small subunit ribosomal RNA
Source: RNAcentral